CAGGACGGCAAGGUUUCGUAGGUAUGACCAGCAGCCCACGUCAAUCGGCCGAUAAGGCGUGACGCUGACAGUACGCGGGUUCGAGUCCCGCACGUCCUGA
This 100-nucleotide transfer RNA is filed under the name Acidovorax temperans. RNAcentral's name for it is "tRNA-OTHER". The record is from RNAcentral. Lineage: Bacteria; Pseudomonadati; Pseudomonadota; Betaproteobacteria; Burkholderiales; Comamonadaceae.